Non-coding RNA from Camellia sinensis, 2041 nucleotides. NCBI's taxonomy places the organism in Eukaryota, Viridiplantae, Streptophyta, Magnoliopsida, Ericales, Theaceae. The record is from RefSeq and is a predicted model, not a curated record.
GAAAUGUAGCUAUGGAAUUUUUGUGAUGGAAUACUACUUUCUUAGUCCCAUAGUCAUAACAGUCAUAACAGUGCUUCUUUCCCAUGGAACUGCUUCUUAAACUGUCAUCACAGUGCUGCUUGCUUGAAUUGCAUUCAUGUCCACAGGCUUAAUUGUCAUAACAGAACUUCAGUAAUUUUGAUCUGUUUGAAUUUCUAGAUUCUGGGUUUUGACAUAUGAAUUCUCAUGUUAAAGAAUAUUUCCCUGAGAGGGUAUAACUGCAAAAUUAGAUUCACAGAGACAGGGGGGAGAAUUAGUGAGAAGAGAAGCAAGUAUAUAUGUGGAAUUCUUCAUAAACGCAUGCCAAUGGAUUUUGACUUCUGGGCAUAACUUUGAAUUCUGAAUUUUAAACUACCACAUGUAAGGACUUUCUAAUAAGCCAUGAUGUUGGGUAAAACAAGUUUUGGUCUUUUUACUUAUGAAUUGUUGUCCUCUGGCACUCUGUCCGUCCCCUUAUUUAUUUUUUAUUUUUAUUUAUUUAUUUAUUUAUUCAUCCUCUAUCAGAAAAAAUAAAAAAGAAAAAAGAAAAAUUCAACAUAUGAGGAAUGCUUCAGGAUUUUAGUAUAUCUGGACAAGUUAUGAUAUUUUAUUAUCAUUUAUUGGUUUUUGUAUAAAGUUUUAAAUUGCAACAUGGUUUAUCCAGCACAGUUGACAGUUUUAAAGAUGAGUAGCAAUGAUGAAGACCAAUAGAAUGAUGACCAUGAUGAUGAAGAUACUGAUGAUGAAGGCAGCACAUCACAAACCCAACAAAAUAAUAAUAUGCUCUUAGUUACGGCGGCUACAGUUGCAGCGACAUAUGCAACAAAUUAUUUGAUAAAAGAACCAUGUAGGACAUCUUGUUUAAUAGGAGGGAUGUGGAUGGUGGAAUUACAAGAAGGGAAUCGAACAAGAAUAUUUGAAAAUUUUCGAAUGGAAAGAGAGGUAUUUUAUCAAUUGUGUAAUUUGUUACAAACAAAUUAUGACCUUCAAACUGGACGACAAGUCUCGGUUGAAGAGCAAGUUGCAAUAUUUUUGUUUAUUGUUGGUGGUGACAUUCGAAACAGAAAUGUCCAAGAAAGAUUUCAACAUUCUGGUGAGACUACUUCAAAAUAUUUUAAGAAGGUGUUAAAGGCUGUUACAAAGAUGUCCAUUGACUGGGUAAGGCCUCAACCGACUAAUGGUGUGCAUCCAUAUAUUCGACGCAACUGCAAAUAUUAUCCUCAUUUCAAGGAUUGUAUUGGAGCAAUUGACGGGACACACAUCAAAGCAUAUAUAUCUCCAGAUAAGCAAGCUCGUCUAAUAGGUAGAAAGGGAUAUGCGACUCAAAACAUAAUGGCCGCAUGUGACUUUGAUGUGUUUCACAUUUUGCUUACCAGGAUGGGAAAGAAGUGCACACGAUACUCGGAUCUUCUUAGAUGCAAUUAAGAAUCCUAGUUUUAAUUUUCCAAAACCACAAGGAGAUGAGUUUUACUUGGUGGAUGCUGGUUAUCCAAACAUGAAAGGAUAUCUUGCACCGUACAAAGGAAAGCGAUACCAUCUAGCUCAAUUUGAACAUGGUCAACCCCCCCAAAAUGCACAAGAAAAAUUCAACCAAACACAUUCCUCACUUAGAAGUGUAAUAGAAAGAACGUUCGGGGUUUGGAAAGCAAGAUGGCCGAUGGUAAAGGAUAUCCCACCAAACUACAAGUGGCCGACCCAAGUCAAACUUGUUUGUGCAACAAUGGCAAUUUAUAAUUUCAUCCGACGAAGUAAGCUCUGCGAUAUUGCAUUUGACUCUUAUGAUAGAUACGCGGAUUAUGUGCCUAAUGAAGAUGAAGGAUCUUCGUCUCAACAAGCACGCCAUGGGAAUGAUGUUGCAUGUGAUGACACCGAAAUGGAAGUGAGGAGACAUAAUAUUUGUAUGUCAAUUUGCAGACGAAAUUAGGAGCUCUAUAAAUAUCUAUGAAGAGCCCUUUUUCUUGCCUUAAUAGUAAUUUAUUAUAUUUUUAUUGCAAUUAAAUUUUUUGUUUUCUUGUCAACUCAA